GCUUAGGGCUAAGGGGGCUAGCGGAUGGAAGUGCUAGUCUAAGGUCGUAGGAGGUUAUACAGGAAAAUCCGUAUAACAAUACUCCGAGAACUGAAAGGCUUUUUGAAGUCUUCGGAUGGAUAGAAGAACCCCUGAUGCCGUCGAGCCAAGAAAAGUUUCUAAGUUUAGCUAAUGUUGCCCGUACCGUAAACCGACACAGGUGGGUGGGAUGAGUAUUCUAAGGCGCGUGGAAGAACUCUCUUUAAGGAACUCUGCAAAAUAGCACCGUAUCUUCGGUAUAAGGUGUGGUUAGCUUUGUAUUAGGAUUUACUCCGAAAGCGAAGAAACUUACAACAAAGAGUCCCUCCCGACUGUUUACCAAAAACACAGCACUCUGCUAACUCGUAAGAGGAUGUAUAGGGUGUGACGCCUGCCCGGUGCUCGAAGGUUAAUUGAUGGGGUUAGCAUUAGCGAAGCUCUUGAUCGAAGCCCGAGUAAACGGCGGCCGUAACUAUAACGGUCCUAAGGUAGCGAAAUUCCUUGUCGGUUAAAUACCGACCUGCAUGAAUGGCGUAACGAGAUGGGAGCUGUCUCAAAGAGGGAUCCAGUGAAAUUGUAGUGGAGGUGAAAAUUCCUCCUACCCGCGGCAAGACGGAAAGACCCCGUGGACCUUUACUACAGCUUGACACUGCUACUUGGAUAAGAAUGUGCAGGAUAGGUGGGAGGCUUUGAGUAUAUGACGCCAGUUGUAUAUGAGCCAUUGUUGAGAUACCACUCUUUCUUAUUUGGGUAGCUAACCAGCUUGAGUUAUCCUCAAGUGGGACAAUGUCUGGUGGGUAGUUUGACUGGGGCGGUCGCCUCCCAAAUAAUAACGGAGGCUUACAAAGGUUGGCUCAGAACGGUUGGAAAUCGUUCGUAGAGUAUAAAGGUAUAAGCCAGCUUAACUGCAAGACAUACAAGUCAAGCAGAGACGAAAGUCGGUCUUAGUGAUCCGGUGGUUCUGUGUGGAAGGGCCAUCGCUCAAAGGAUAAAAGGUACCCCGGGGAUAACAGGCUGAUCUCCCCCAAGAGCUCACAUCGACGGGGAGGUUUGGCACCUCGAUGUCGGCUCAUCGCAUCCUGGGGCUGGAGCAGGUCCCAAGGGUAUGGCUGUUCGCCAUUUAAAGCGGUACGCGAGCUGGGUUCAGAACGUCGUGAGACAGUUCGGUCCCUAUCUGCCGUGGGCGUAAGAAGAUUGAAGAGAUUUGACCCUAGUACGAGAGGACCGGGUUGAACAAACCACUGGUGUAGCUGUUGUUCUGCCAAGAGCAUCGCAGCGUAGCUAAGUUUGGAAAGGAUAAACGCUGAAAGCAUCUAAGCGUGAAGCCAACUCUAAGAUGAAUCUUCUCUAAGCUCUCUAGAAGACUACUAGUUUGAUAGGCUGGGUGUGUAAUGGAUGAAAGUCCUUUAGCUGACCAGUACUAAUAGAGCGUUUGGCUUAUCUUU
Molecule: ribosomal RNA, 1463 nt
Filed under: Campylobacter jejuni
Lineage: Bacteria; Pseudomonadati; Campylobacterota; Epsilonproteobacteria; Campylobacterales; Campylobacteraceae
Description: partial 23S ribosomal RNA
Rfam family: Bacterial large subunit ribosomal RNA
Source: RNAcentral